RNAcentral lists this long non-coding RNA (1272 nucleotides) under Sus scrofa (pig). RNAcentral's name for it is "lncRNA (ENSSSCG00070014495.1)". Lineage: Eukaryota; Metazoa; Chordata; Mammalia; Artiodactyla; Suidae. The record is from RNAcentral.
GGUGGGUUCCUGCCCCAAGGCGGAGGCUGGUCCAGGAACGGUUGCUGAUGGAGAGCCGGGGAGUGAUCCUUCGCUGGAAAACGGUGACCCCUAAGGUUAAGGAUCUAACAGCACUCGGAGGAAAGAGAGUCGCAUGUGCCAGAGGGCUGAGGGUUCCUGCAGAUGUUCCACACAGGGGCGUCCGAGGUUCCCCAGAACAGACAGCUAGAGGUCGAAACCAGGGCACAACGAAAUUGCUCCUACACAGAAUCGCUGAGGUCUGCAAGGGAGAAGUUGCAGCAGCAGUGGCUGAAGCGAGAGCUGUGUCUGAUGAGACUGGAAGUGGUUCACCAUCCAGACCUGUGAAGGGGUGCAUUUUACCUACUUCCGUGCUAAAAGCUGGGCUGUCGCAGGUUCAUGGAAGCAGGCAGAAGACAUGAGACGGCUGGGUCGGAGACAAAGGAUUUCAUUACCUACGGCACAGCCAGCCUGAGCUGCAGGUUCCUGCUUCCCCAAGUCCCACAGGGACAACAAAGAGGUGGGUUCAAGGGCGUGUGGCACACACAGUGUGAGAACAGCUGAGGAGUUUGAGCCCAAGAAUCUUCCUCUCUCUCUCUCUUUCUUUCUCUCUCUCUUUCUUUCUUUCUUUUCUUUCUCUUUCUUCCUUUAUCUCUCUCUCUUUCUUUCUUUCUUUCUUUCUUCCUUCCUUCCUUCCUUCCUUUAUCUCUCUCUUUCUUUCUUUCUUUAUCUCUCUCUUUCUUUCUUUUCUUUUCUUCCUUCAUUCCUUUCUCUUUCUCUUUCUUUCUUUCUUUUUCUUUCUUUCUUUCCUUCCUUCCUUCCUUCCUUCAUCUCUCUCUCUUUCUUUCUUUUCUUUCUUUCUUUCUUUCUUUCUUUCUUUCUUUCUUACUUUCUUUCUUUCUUUCUGUGUGUGAUGGCCACAAGCAAACCUGCUCAAGCAUUUCCCUGGUAAAAGACAUUAUCUUUAUUAAUGCUCAGAAAACAACCCCCCCAAAAAACAACAAAAACAAAAACAAAAAACCUGCCCUCCUCUCCAGAGAAAAAUACUUCCAAAGCUGUGUGCUAGAUAAAUACCCUUAAAAAAUAGUCUAGAACUACUCAGUGAUUCUACUCACGAGAUAUAAACGAAAGUGAGAGAUCAGCAGAAAAUUAUCUCCCAACAUGGACUAGAGGCGUUCCAUACAUAGGAUGUUUAGCAGGUAAGUAACAGCAACGUUGAGAGUCUUUAGAGACUGGUCACUUCACUUAAUGAGAUAAUCUCUGCCGAGCCUCUUG